GACGAACGCUGGCGGCGUGCUUAACACAUGCAAGUCGAACGGAAAGGCCCUGCUUUUGUGGGGUGCUCGAGUGGCGAACGGGUGAGUAACACGUGAGUAACCAGCCCUUGACUUUGGGAUAACUUCAGGAAACUGGGGCUAAUACCGGAUAGGAGCUCCUGCUGCAUGGUGGGGGUUGGAAAGUUUCGGCGGUUGGGGAUGGACUCGCGGCUUAUCAGCUUGUUGGUGGGGUAGUGGCUUACCAAGGCUUUGACGGGUAGCCGGCCUGAGAGGGUGACCGGCCACAUUGGGACUGAGAUACGGCCCAGACUCCUACGGGAGGCAGCAGUGGGGAAUAUUGCACAAUGGGCGGAAGCCUGAUGCAGCAACGCCGCGUGCGGGAUGACGGCCUUCGGGUUGUAAACCGCUUUCGCCUGUGACGAAGCGUGAGUGACGGUAAUGGGUAAAGAAGCACCGGCUAACUACGUGCCAGCAGCCGCGGUGAUACGUAGGGUGCGAGCGUUGUCCGGAUUUAUUGGGCGUAAAGGGCUCGUAGGUGGUUGAUCGCGUCGGAAGUGUAAUCUUGGGGCUUAACCCUGAGCGUGCUUUCGAUACGGGUUGACUUGAGGAAGGUAGGGGAGAAUGGAAUUCCUGGUGGAGCGGUGGAAUGCGCAGAUAUCAGGAGGAACACCAGUGGCGAAGGCGGUUCUCUGGGCCUUUCCUGACGCUGAGGAGCGAAAGCGUGGGGAGCGAACAGGCUUAGAUACCCUGGUAGUCCACGCUGUAAACGGUGGGUACUAGGUGUGGGGUCCAUUCCACGGGUUCCGUGCCGUAGCUAACGCUUUAAGUACCCCGCCUGGGGAGUACGGCCGCAAGGCUAAAACUCAAAGGAAUUGGCGGGGCCCCGCACAAGCGGCGGAGCAUGCGGAUUAAUUCGAUGCAACGCGUAGAACCUUACCUGGGUUCGACAUGGAUCGGGAGCGCUCAGAGAUGGGUGUGCCUCUUUUGGGGUCGGUCCACAGGUGGUGCAUGGCUGUCGUCAGCCCGUGUCGUGAGAUGUUGGGUUAAGUCCCGCAACGAGCGCAACCCUUGUUCACUGUUGCCAGCACGUUAUGGUGGGGACUCAGUGGAGACCGCCGGGGUCAACUCGGAGGAAGGUGGGGAUGACGUCAAGUCAUCAUGCCCCUUAUGUCCAGGGCUUCACGCAUGCUACAAUGGCUGGUACAGAGAGUGGCGAGCCUGUGAGGGUGAGCGAAUCUCGGAAAGCCGGUCUCAGUUCGGAUUGGGGUCUGCAACUCGACCUCAUGAAGUCGGAGUCGCUAGUAAUCGCAGAUCAGCAACGCUGCGGUGAAUACGUUCCCGGG
RNAcentral lists this ribosomal RNA (1343 nucleotides) under uncultured bacterium. RNAcentral describes it as "16S ribosomal RNA". It matches the Rfam family "Bacterial small subunit ribosomal RNA", at positions 28 to 1378 of the family's 1533-position model. The record is from RNAcentral.